GUUGGUUACGGUGACAUUUAUCCACAAACUCCUUGGGGUAAACUAGUUGGAAGUCUCUGUUGCAUCUGUGGAGUGCUCGUGAUAGCCAUGCCUAUUCCAAUCAUAGUGAACAAC
Regulatory RNA element from Helobdella robusta, 114 nucleotides. It matches the Rfam family "Potassium channel RNA editing signal". From Rfam's summary of the family: This family represents a group of sequences related to the human potassium channel Kv1.1 hairpin element which directs the efficient modification of an adenosine to inosine by an adenosine deaminase acting on RNA (ADAR). The ADAR modification causes an isoleucine/valine recoding event which lies in the ion-conducting pore of the potassium channel. NCBI's taxonomy places the organism in Eukaryota, Metazoa, Annelida, Clitellata, Rhynchobdellida, Glossiphoniidae. The record is from Rfam.